CAUGCAAGUCGAGCGGUAACGCGGGAGCAAUCCUGGCGACGAGCGGCGAACGGGUGAGUAAUGCUUCGGAAUCUGCCCAGUAGUAGGGAAUAACCAGCCGAAAGGUUGGCUAAUACCGCAUACGACCUACGGGUGAAAGCCGGGGACCGCAAGGCCUGGCGCUGACAGAUGAGCCCAAGUCGGAUUAGCUAGUUGGUAGGGUAACGGCCUACCAAGGCGACGAUCCGUAACUGGUCUGAGAGGACGACCAGUCACACCGGAACUGAGACACGGUCCGGACUCCUACGGGAGGCAGCAGUGGGGAAUAUUGGACAAUGGGGGAAACCCUGAUCCAGCGACGCCGCGUGGGUGAAGAAGGCCUGCGGGUUGUAAAGCCCUUUCAGUGGGGAAGAAAAGCCUCGACCUAACACGUCGGGGUCUUGACGUAACCCAUAGAAGAAGCACCGGCUAACUCUGUGCCAGCAGCCGCGGUAAUACAGAGGGUGCGAGCGUUAAUCGGAAUUACUGGGCGUAAAGCGCGCGUAGGCGGCUUUGCAAGUCGGGUGUGAAAUCCCCAGGCUUAACCUGGGAACUGCAUUCGAGACUGCAUGGCUAGAGUAUGGGAGAGGGAAGUGGAAUUUCCGGUGUAGCGGUGAAAUGCGUAGAUAUCGGANGGAACAUCAGUGGCGAAAGCGACUUCCUGGNCCAAUACUGACGCUCA
This 700-nucleotide ribosomal RNA is filed under the name uncultured bacterium. Its description in RNAcentral is "bacterial SSU rRNA". It matches the Rfam family "Bacterial small subunit ribosomal RNA", at positions 54 to 749 of the family's 1533-position model. The record is from RNAcentral.